This 374-nucleotide long non-coding RNA is filed under the name Malus domestica (apple). Its description in RNAcentral is "long non-coding RNA (MDOM_LNC009137)". Lineage: Eukaryota; Viridiplantae; Streptophyta; Magnoliopsida; Rosales; Rosaceae. The record is from RNAcentral.
GUCACUGUGGAUCCCGCUCGCAAACUCUGGUUCCGCCUCUUCGUCCCCCAGUCCACGUUGUCGACUCCAUCUGAUCUACCCGUCAUCGUAUUCUUCCACGGCGGAGGAUUCACCUUCCUCAGCCCUGCCUCAUUCGCAUACAACGCCGUUUGCCGCAAGUUUGCUCGGAAAUUCCCCGCUGUUGUCGUCUCUGUCAAUUACCGCCUCUGCCCCGAACACCGGUACCCUUCCCCAUACGACGACGGGUUCGACGUCCUUACCUUCCUCGACCAAAAUGAUGACGUCCUCCCCAAAAACGCAGACAGAUCCAGAAUCUUCUUGGCCGGGGACAGCGCGGGAGCCAACGUGGCCCACCACGUGGCGGUUCGGGCCGC